Hyaena hyaena (striped hyena) is the source of this 460-nucleotide long non-coding RNA. RefSeq lists it as uncharacterized. The transcript has 3 exons. NCBI's taxonomy places the organism in Eukaryota, Metazoa, Chordata, Mammalia, Carnivora, Hyaenidae. The record is from RefSeq and is a predicted model, not a curated record.
GCGGGGCCUGAGGAUGCCCCACCUGGGUCCCUUCCCGAAUCCGAGCGCUCUCUCUGUUUGCAGGGACAGGGUUCCAAAGAGAUUUCCAGCGUCUGCACGUGAGACUCCGCCCCCUGGAACAAAGGCCGUGGGGGCGGGGGGCGGUGGAUACUGAGCAACUCAGGACGGGGACCUCCCAAGGCCCUAGGCCUGAGCAAAAGCCAGAAAGCAUUUGCAAGGGAAGUUCCUCUGGGUGCCACCCCCCGAGGGACCAGAUGAAGCCUGAUCUCUAAAAUUCUGCUGUUCCUAGUAUGCCUGUUUGCCAGGCGGGCUGCUGUAGGACGCUGGUUCUAUUAUGGUUGCAGAAGACGUUCUGAAAGCCCUCAGCCAGGGGCCACGGGAGUGGGGACCUGAGUCCUGCCUGUCGGAGUCCGGGGCCCAGAGCCCUGGAUGCCUCUCAACACUCCUGCCUUCAUCCAGG